This 981-nucleotide ribosomal RNA is filed under the name Klebsiella pneumoniae. RNAcentral's name for it is "bacterial SSU rRNA". It matches the Rfam family "Bacterial small subunit ribosomal RNA", at positions 8 to 998 of the family's 1533-position model. The record is from RNAcentral. Lineage: Bacteria; Pseudomonadati; Pseudomonadota; Gammaproteobacteria; Enterobacterales; Enterobacteriaceae.
AGAGUUUGAUCAUGGCUCAGAUUGAACGCUGGCGGCAGGCCUAACACAUGCAAGUCGAGCGGUAGCACAGAGAGCUUGCUCUCGGGUGACGAGCGGCGGACGGGUGAGUAAUGUCUGGGAAACUGCCUGAUGGAGGGGGAUAACUACUGGAAACGGUAGCUAAUACCGCAUAACGUCGCAAGACCAAAGUGGGGGACCUUCGGGCCUCAUGCCAUCAGAUGUGCCCAGAUGGGAUUAGCUAGUAGGUGGGGUAAUGGCUCACCUAGGCGACGAUCCCUAGCUGGUCUGAGAGGAUGACCAGCCACACUGGAACUGAGACACGGUCCAGACUCCUACGGGAGGCAGCAGUGGGGAAUAUUGCACAAUGGGCGCAAGCCUGAUGCAGCCAUGCCGCGUGUGUGAAGAAGGCCUUCGGGUUGUAAAGCACUUUCAGCGGGGAGGAAGGCGNCGAUUGACGUUACCCGCAGAAGAAGCACCGGCUAACUCCGUGCCAGCAGCCGCGGUAAUACGGAGGGUGCAAGCGUUAAUCGGAAUUACUGGGCGUAAAGCGCACGCAGGCGGUCUGUCAAGUCGGAUGUGAAAUCCCCGGGCUCAACCUGGGAACUGCAUUCGAAACUGGCAGGCUAGAGUCUUGUAGAGGGGGGUAGAAUUCCAGGUGUAGCGGUGAAAUGCGUAGAGAUCUGGAGGAAUACCGGUGGCGAAGGCGGCCCCCUGGACAAAGACUGACGCUCAGGUGCGAAAGCGUGGGGAGCAAACAGGAUUAGAUACCCUGGUAGUCCACGCCGUAAACGAUGUCGAUUUGGAGGUUGUGCCCUUGAGGCGUGGCUUCCGGAGCUAACGCGUUAAAUCGACCGCCUGGGGAGUACGGCCGCAAGGUUAAAACUCAAAUGAAUUGACGGGGGCCCGCACAAGCGGUGGAGCAUGUGGUUUAAUUCGAUGCAACGCGAAGAACCUUACCUGGUCUUGACAUCCACAGAACUU